ACAUCAAAGUCGUUGUAGUAUAGUGGUAAGUAUUCCCGCCUG
RNAcentral lists this small RNA (42 nucleotides) under Arabidopsis thaliana (thale cress). RNAcentral describes it as "ATSL073410". The record is from RNAcentral. Lineage: Eukaryota; Viridiplantae; Streptophyta; Magnoliopsida; Brassicales; Brassicaceae.